This 425-nucleotide ribosomal RNA is filed under the name uncultured bacterium. Its description in RNAcentral is "partial 16S ribosomal RNA". It matches the Rfam family "Bacterial small subunit ribosomal RNA", at positions 354 to 796 of the family's 1533-position model. The record is from RNAcentral.
GUUAGGAAUAUUGGACAAUGGGCGAAAGCCUGAUCCAGCCAUGCCGCGUGAACGAUGAAGGCCUUCGGGUUGUAAAGUUCUUUAGCCGAUGAUUAUAAUGACUGUAGUCGGAAAAUAAGCCCCGGCUAACUUCGUGCCAGCAGCCGCGGUAAUACGAAGGGGGCGAGUGUUAUUCGGAAUCACUGGGCGUAAAGCGUGCGUAGGCGGUUUUGUAAGUUAGGAGUGAAAGCCCAGGGCUCAACCUUGGAAUUGCUCUUAAAACUGCAAGGCUCGAAUCUCGGAGAGGAUAGCGGAAUUUCCAGUGUAGCAGUGAAAUGCGUAGAUAUUGGAAGGAACACCAGUGGCGUAAGCGGCUAUCUGGACGAGUAUUGACGCUGAGGCACGAAAGCGUGGGGAUCAAACAGGAUUAGAAACCCCGGUAGUCC